RNAcentral lists this ribosomal RNA (457 nucleotides) under uncultured bacterium. Its description in RNAcentral is "bacterial SSU rRNA". It matches the Rfam family "Bacterial small subunit ribosomal RNA", at positions 340 to 786 of the family's 1533-position model. The record is from RNAcentral.
UACGGAAGGCAGCAGUGGGGAAGUAUUGCACAAUGGGCGAAAGCCUGAUGCAGCUAUGCCGCGUGUAUGAAGAAGGCCUUAGGGUUGUAAAGUACUUUCAUCGGGGAGGAAAAACAAAACUAAUAAUUUUAUUUCUUGACGUUACCCGAAAAAGAAGCACCGGCUAACUCCGUGCCAGCAGCCGCGGUAAUACGGAGGGUGCUAGCGUUAAUCAGAAUUACUGGGCGUAAAGAGCACGUAGGUGGUUUUUUUAAGUCAGAUGUGAAAUCCCUGGGCUUAACCUAGGAACUGCAUUUUGAAACUGAAAUACUAGAGUAUCGUAGAGGGAGGUAGAAUUCUAGGUGUAGCGGUGAAAUGCGUAGAUAUCUGGAGGAAUACCUGUGGCGAAAGCGGCCUCCUAAACGAAUACUGACACUGAGGUGCGAAAGCGUGGGGAGCAAAACAGGGAUUAGAUACC